AGAAAGCUCAAUUCUGUGAAAGUGGGACAUGAAAGAUGGGAGAUGGGGAGGCGAAAAAGACAACAAGGGACAGGCAGAUGGAAAGGAUACUGCAGAGAAGACCAAGAAAGAGAAAUAGGAAGAAAAUGCAGAGUGGGUUGUCAUGGAAUCUUCAAGAAGGAAGCUCAUUGCCUGACCCACUUGUUUCAUAAUGCAAUGAAAUGCUAAAGAAUUUUAACUCCAUAAGGAAAAUCAGGGCAAGACAAUAAAAGAAACAUUAAAUAUUAGUAAAAGUACACUCAAUAGUAUGACUUCUGUCUUGUUCUUUAAAAUAGGUGCCUCUGUUCCUUAUGUUCUACUUGUGUUAAACUUUAAUAAGGGAAUACAAUUUUCAAAAGCAAGCAAUCAAAAAUCAUGGUUAAAUGGAACAACUGGAGCAGUGA
This 422-nucleotide long non-coding RNA is filed under the name Homo sapiens (human). Its description in RNAcentral is "HSALNT0163188". Lineage: Eukaryota; Metazoa; Chordata; Mammalia; Primates; Hominidae. The record is from RNAcentral.